Long non-coding RNA from Astatotilapia calliptera (eastern happy), 905 nucleotides. The record is from Ensembl. Lineage: Eukaryota; Metazoa; Chordata; Actinopteri; Cichliformes; Cichlidae.
GCUGAAUAAUUAUUUUAUUGUAUGGUCAGCAGUACGGUGUACAUUUUAGGACAUCGUCAGGUAUCAGAAAAAAAAUUGUCAGGUGUCAGUUGUCAAAAAAAAAAAAAGUCAGGUAUCAGAAAAAAAAUUGUCAGGUGUCAGUUGUCAAAAAAAAAAUUGUCAGGUAUCAGACAAAAAAUUGUCAGUUGUCAGUUGUCAAAAAAAAAUUGUCAGGUAUCAGAAAAAAAAUUGUCAGGUGUCAGAAAAAAAAUUGUCAGGUGUCAGUUGUCAAAAAAAAAAAAGUCAGGUAUCAGAAAAAAAAUUUCAGGUAUCAGAAAAAAAAUUGUCAGGUGUCAGAAAAAAAAUUGUCAGGUGUCAGUUGUCAAAAAAAAAAAAGUCAGGUAUCAGAAAAAAAAUUGUCAGGUGUCAGUUGUCAAAAAAAAAAAGUCAGGUAUCAGAAAAAAAAUUGUCAGGUGUCAGAAAAAAAAUUGUCAGGUGUCAGAAAAAAAAUUGUCAGGUGUCAGUUGUCAAAAAAAAAAAAGUCAGGUAUCAGAAAAAAAAUUGUCAGGUGUCAGAAAAAAAGUUGUCAGGUGUCAGAAAAAAAAUUGUCAGGUGUCAGACAAAAAAUUGUCAGGUGUCAGAAAAAAAGUUGUCAGGUGUCAGAAAAAAAAUUGUCAGGUGUCAGAAAAAAAGUUGUCAGGUGUCAGAAAAAAAUUUUUCUGGCAUAUUCAUAUAAAGGAUUUUUUUUUUUAAAGUAAGAAGCCUUACAUUGUUUCUUUAAUAGUCCAAUUUUUCUUUAAUAUGUUGGUUCUUGCACACCUACAAAAUUCCCAAACAUGUUGUAAGUUUAGGCUUUACAAACUGAAAGUUUCUAUUAUUUUAUUAGUCUGUACCACUUGCUUAAGUGGAAUGGGGAUUAAAAAAUG